UUUCAAAAGAGGGGUAGGUGCAAGAGCUGCCAUUGAAAUUAGAUGGAUCUUAAAAAAAGCUAAAGAAAAAUAUAAGAGAAUAAUGGAGAGAGGCUUAAGACAGAAG
This is a long non-coding RNA of Hibiscus syriacus, 106 nucleotides long. RefSeq lists it as uncharacterized. The record is from RefSeq and is a predicted model, not a curated record. Lineage: Eukaryota; Viridiplantae; Streptophyta; Magnoliopsida; Malvales; Malvaceae. The transcript is spliced from 3 exons.